CCUACGGGAGGCUGCAGUGGGGAAUAUUGGGCAAUGGGCGAAAGCCUGACCCAGCAACGCCGCGUGAAGGAAGAAGGCUUUCGGGUUGUAAACUUCUUUUGACAGGGAAGAGCAGAAGACGGUACCUGUCGAAUAAGCCACGGCUAACAACGUGCCAGCAGCCGCGGUAAUACGUAGGUGGCAAGCGUUGUACGGAUUUACUGGGGGUAAAGGGCGUGUAGCCGGGCUGACAAGUCAGAUGUGAAAUCCGGGGGCUCAACCCCCGAACUGCAGUUGAAACUGUUGGUCUUGAGUAUCGGAGAGGCAGGCGGAAUUCCUAGUGUAGCAGUGAAAUUCGUAGAUAUUAGGAGGAACACCAGUGGCGAAGGCGGCCUGCUGGACGACAACUGACGGUGAGGCGCGAAAGCGUGGGGAGCAAACAGGAUUAGAUACCCGAGUAGUC
Molecule: ribosomal RNA, 442 nt
Filed under: uncultured bacterium
Lineage: Bacteria
Description: partial 16S ribosomal RNA
Rfam family: Bacterial small subunit ribosomal RNA
Source: RNAcentral